This 83-nucleotide small RNA is filed under the name Marmota monax (woodchuck). The record is from RNAcentral. Lineage: Eukaryota; Metazoa; Chordata; Mammalia; Rodentia; Sciuridae.
GCCGGGUAUGGUGGCUCAUGCCUGUGAUCCCAGUGGCUCGGGAGGCUGAGGCAGGAGGAUUGAGACUUCAAAGUCAGCCUCAG